GAUCUUUUGUUUAAGGUAAGUUCAACGAGUCAUAGUUAUUAAUGAAUGAAGAAGAACAUUUCUGAGGUAAUGGAAUUCCUUAGUAUGGCUUUCUCAUCCAGUUAGGUUGUGAGGUGCGUGCAUUGUUAUUAAACUUGGACCAAACCAAACCAGUCACUGGGACUGGUGAACAGUGAACCAAAUCCCAAACCAAUCUAGGUUUGUAAUCUGACCAGAUAAAGAAGCGUCUUGGUAAGACCUAGGUUACCUGGUUGAUUCGGCUGAUGAACCGGUAUUACCAACCGGUAUUACCCUGCCAGUCCAACCAGUCAACAAGAGCAAAAUAUUUUUCACUUUUGUCAAGGGAAAUUGAACCCAAGAGAUUAUAAAAAUUCUUUGAAGUCAACCAAUUGAGCCAACGUAGUUGCAUUUUUUUUUAUUUCAAUAUAUA
Molecule: unclassified non-coding RNA, 430 nt
Filed under: Hevea brasiliensis (rubber tree)
Lineage: Eukaryota; Viridiplantae; Streptophyta; Magnoliopsida; Malpighiales; Euphorbiaceae
Source: RNAcentral